AACGCGAAGAACCUUACCUACGCUUGACAUACCAGGACGAUUUCCAGAGAUGGAUUUCUUCCCUCAAGGGACUUGGAUACAGGUGCUGCAUGGCUGUCGUCAGCUCGUGUCGUGAGAUGUUGGGUUAAGUCCCGCAACGAGCGCACCCCUCGUCGUAUGUUGCCAUCAGGUCAUGGGGGGCACUCAUGCGAGACUGCCGGUGACAAGCCGGAGGAAGGGGGGGAUGACGUCAAGUCAUCAUGGCCCUUACGCGUAGGGCUACAAACGUGCUACAAUGGUGGUGACAAUGGGUCGCAAGGUCGUGAGGGCAAACCAAUCUCAAAAAGCCAUCUCAGUUCGGAUUGUACUCUGCAACUCGAGUACAUGAAGUUGGAAUCGCUAGUAAUCGUAAAUCAGCACGUUACGGUGAAUACGUUCCCGGGUCUUGUACACACCG
RNAcentral lists this ribosomal RNA (436 nucleotides) under uncultured bacterium. RNAcentral describes it as "bacterial SSU rRNA". It matches the Rfam family "Bacterial small subunit ribosomal RNA", at positions 958 to 1392 of the family's 1533-position model. The record is from RNAcentral.